GACGUAGGGGGCGAGCGUUGUUCGGAAUCACUGGGCGUAAAGCGCACGUAGGCGGAUGUGUCAGUCAGGGGUGAAAUCCCGGAGCUCAACUUCGGAACUGCCUUUGAUACAGCACGUCUUGAGUCCGAUAGAGGUGGGUGGAAUUCCUAGUGUAGAGGUGAAAUUCGUAGAUAUUAGGAAGAACACCGGUGGCGAAGGCGGCCCACUGGAUCGGUACUGACGCUGAGGUACGAAAGCGUGGGGAGCGAACAGG
This 253-nucleotide ribosomal RNA is filed under the name uncultured bacterium. RNAcentral describes it as "partial 16S ribosomal RNA". It matches the Rfam family "Bacterial small subunit ribosomal RNA", at positions 524 to 776 of the family's 1533-position model. The record is from RNAcentral.